This 465-nucleotide ribosomal RNA is filed under the name uncultured organism. RNAcentral's name for it is "bacterial SSU rRNA". It matches the Rfam family "Bacterial small subunit ribosomal RNA", at positions 28 to 507 of the family's 1533-position model. The record is from RNAcentral.
GACGAACGCUGGCGGCGCGCCUAACACAUGCAAGUCGAACGGAGAAAGCAUUUCGGUGUUUUCUUAGUGGCGGACGGGUGAGUAACGCGUGAGGAACCUGGCCUUUAGUGGGGGAUAGCGUCUGGAAACGGACGGUAAUACCGCGUAACGUAUUUGGGUGACAUCACCCGGAUACCAAAGGAGAAAUCCGCUGAAGGAUGGCCUCGCGUCCGAUUAGGUAGUUGGUGAGGUAACGGCCCACCAAGCCUGCGAUCGGUAGCCGGAUUGAGAGAUUGGCCGGCCACAUUGGGACUGAGACACGGCCCAGACUCCUACGGGAGGCAGCAGUGGGGGAUAUUGCACAAUGGAGGAAACUCUGAUGCAGCGACGCCGCGUGAGGGAAGAAGGCCCUCGGGUUGUAAACCUCUGUCUUCCGGGACGAAGAAAAUGACGGUACCGGAAGAGGAAGCCACGGCUAACUACGUG